CAGUCUGAUGUGAUUGCUCAGUGAAUCUAGAAGGAGGGUGCUCCGGUCCAUGUUGGGACCUGGCACACGGCCCUUCCUGCCGCUAGUUAUGUGGUACCAUGACUCAUAUGUCAGAAACUAAGGCACUGAAAAAUGCUUUAAGGAGACAGGCGGUUCUCAUAAGGACCCUCCAUGCUGAACAGGAUGCCUUGUUCCUGUCUAACUGGGAGGAUGUGACAGGGUGACAACAGAAGCGGAUCCCCUGGAAUUUCAUGGGUGCAGAAGCCAUGCAGUUUGACCUGGAAAUUCCCAUGGAGAUGACUAUGCUACUGCCCAGAGAGACGACCAUGGGUGUCGGGACCUUCCUGCAGGCCAGUGCUGAGGAGAGUAUUGGCCCUGCCUCCUCUGUGGCCCAGGCUGGAGCAGUGCAACCCCUGGGCUGUCUCAAGGCUUGAUCCUUUCAAGGAUGUCACGGAGAUGGGAUCGUGAAGCCUGUAGCCUUGCAGACUGCUGGCUUCCCCUUAGCAAUACAUACGUCCUCCGUACCCCAUCAUAGAAGGCAGGCUGGUUUGUCCUUAUUACAGAAUCGUAUUCCUUUACCUGUGUUUCCUCUUACCUGCUGACGGGUAAGUUUUCAGUUCUUUUGGAUAAAUAGCACGGAACGCAAUGCAAUCAUGGGGCCAUACAUUACCUUACGGUGAGUCUGUCUAGCUUUGUGAGAAAGUGUUUCUUUUCUAAUGUGAAAAAUGAAGAAUAGAGCCAGGUGUGGUGGCUCACGCCUGUAAUCCCAGGACUCGGGAGGCUGAGGCAGGAGAAUUUUUGCGAGUUUGAGACCAGCCUGGGCUGCAAAGUGAGCUCAAGGCCUGCCCAAACUGCAUAGAGACCCUGUCUCAAAAAAAAAAAAAAAAAAGAAGAAGAAGAAUAGAUUUAAAUCAGGGAAAAGACUUACCUUUUCCAUCCCAGCAAUGAGAUUAUGCUGUCGGCUUCCAGCAGCUUGGCCAUUAGAGUUCCCAAAGAACUUGCCCAAAAUGGGUACAAACCAGGAAGGUGCUUGGGGACACCGGGCUCUGGGACAGAAGGGUCUUAGACCCUGUUCCACCAAGCCCUGCUUCCUGGGCACAUUUUACUCCCCCACCCCCCGGGGAGCCAUCCAGCCCAUUGUGCUCAGGGACCUUUUCUUUUCUCGCCUGUCCAGCCUCAGCCUCUCCUGCAGCUUUCCUACAGUGGCCUUUGGAACUUACUGGAGGCAUUAGUCACAUCCCCAGGCUUGGACAGGGCUCUUCCCAGGCGGGUCUGAGAUAAGGUCUGAGAGCAGGUAGUUUACUGGGGAGGUGAUUCCAGGAAGCCAGAGCAAGACAAGAUUUGCUGAGGGCCACUGGUGGGAGGUGUGUAGGGUGCAUUCCAGUGGGGUCCCCCGAGGCUCCAGGGAGCUGAUCAGAUAUUUCAGAUUUGUCCCUUGGAAGUGAGAAGACUGGAAACCGGGGUCCUCCCUCACUGGCUCCUUCUUUUGUUGGCUGAAUGGGAGCAACUCCAGGGCCCUGUGCAAGGUGCGCUGGGCCAGAGAAGCCCUGGCAGUGGGAGAGGGCCCCUGUUCCUCCCUCCUUCCGGGAAGUCCUGCCCGCCUCCUCCCUCCCCACCACUUGCUCUGACUUGGGGCCACUGAGGCUGCUACCCGAUCUGGGGUGUCCCUCCGGCUGAAUUUUGUUCUUAGAUUUGCUGCCACUCCCCCCUGUGUCACUCUUGGCCCAGCCAUUUAAUAUCUCAGUCACUUAAUACCCUGCCCACCCCGGAAUACUUCCCUCUUCUCUCACUGCCCGGCCUUUUGGCUCUGUUUUCAAGCAUCCCUUCUCACGUACUAGCACUCCAAUCCUCCACCUCCGCUUCCUCCAGCCUCUCACCUCUGCCCCAGGGUCCCUUGGUGCCACUUGGAGCCUUCUCCACCUCUGCCUGCUGUGCUUGGGUGUGGCCGAUGCUGGUGCAGCACAGCCAGCCUGACCGUCUCCCUGAAUGUCUCCGCCACCCCAACAAGGUCCCAUGGCCAGGUGUCAGAACUGCCACUUCCUCUGCCCUCAGUGACCCUCCGGGCCAUACUUUCUGGCUCAGAGUCCUUGCAUGUGGGACGCAAUACCCUGCAAAUGCUCACUGCAGUGCAGUGCCCUGGUCCCAGCAUCUCAGCUCUGUCCUGUGGUUCCCAUGGGUGUAAACACGCCUGUACCUCAAAAACACAAGUGAAACCUCCCUGUACCCCACUUCCCCUCUGGCUACUGCCCCGUCUCUGUUCCCUUUGCAGCCAAACUGCAAGUUGUAUCAGUGCCCUUACCACUCCAAGCACCUGUGCCCCCUUCCAGCCUGUAGCAAGCAACCUGUGUCCCUCCUGCCCCCACAGUGACCCCCAGAGAGUUCCUCAGUCAUCUCCCUCUUCCUGUGCUCUCUGCUUCCUCCGCCUGUCAGCCACUGUCUCAGUGUGCUCCCCACACUAUGCACGGAGCCUUCCGAGCCCCUGCCCUUGCUCCUAUGUUCUCCACACCCGCUGUCCAAGGAGGACUCAGCCUUCUCUCUUCCUCCACGCAGGAGUCCAGAUACAAAGAUCCUCCCACCUAUUAGAGGUCCUUGGGCAGCUGAGUGAUGCUUCUCCGCACGCAGUGUGCAGCGCUACAGUCCCCUGUCUCCCACCUCCCCAGCUGGGCUCUAAGCACCCUGCUCUGCCGCCUCGGGCUCUAGGUUGGGGAUAGCCUGGACUCCUCUUUUCUGUAGCCAUUUCCACCCACAUAGACCUCCUGCGAGCUCUGCCUUCACAAAACCACAGUUUGGCCCUGUUAUAGUUUGGAUCAAAAAUGUCCUGCAAAAGGCUUGUGUGUGCAGAGGCCUGGUUUCUGGAAUGUGAUUGGACCAAAGGGGCACCAAGCUCCAGAGUGGAUUAAUCUAUUGGUGCUGAGUUCCUAGCUACAUCUGUUAGGAGGCGGGGCCUGAUGGGAGGAAGUGAGUCCUUGCGGGGUAACCAGAAGGAUACUGCUUGCCCCUGACCCCUUCCUCUCUGGCCCUUUCCCUCUCUCUGCAUUCUGGCAGCUGUGAGGUGAGCAGCUUCCUCCAAUCUGCCCUUCUCCCGUGUUCUUUCACGGAGCCACACCUCUGAAACCGUGAGCUGGAAUCAACUUUCCCUCCUUAACUUGUUUCUCAUAGGAAUUUUGUUACAGGGACCGGAAGCUGCUGGACACAGAUCCUUAUCCAUGACCCAGUGGUGCUGCACCCUCCAGCCCACCUGCCAUCCCUCUGACAGCCGGCUCUGCCCUUGCUGCUAAUCCCUUCUGCCCCAGCCAUGGGUAGCCUUGCUGUACCUACCCACUGUGCCAGCCUCCCUGGUUUCCAUCUCCUUUAUUGUCCAUGCCAGGAGCCUACACAGGACAGUCCCGUCUGCUUGGAAGUGUCCCCUUAGGGAACCCCAAGUACAUUCUCACUCUGUUCCCCAUACUAGCAGCAGGGCCAGUCCUGGUCACCCCCAUCAAACAGUCACCGCCCCUCCCUGCCUGCAAAACCAGGCCUUCUGUUAUGGAUUAAGAACUGGUGGUCAACUUAAUGCCAGCUGGAUUACAUCAGCAAGGCACUGAGCGUACAUGUUCCACCUGAAGAAAGUUGCCAGCAUAGAGACAUGGAGAAAGAGAAGCUAUUGCACUGAGACGUUGAGCAUUGUGGGUUCUCCUACAUGUUGCUGUUUGAGCCAUUGGUUCUCCUGGAGAAGCUCUGGCGCUCACAUCGAGCAUUGCUUCCUGGCUCUGGAGGGGAAGAUGUGUGCUGCUUGGUAUCCAGGAUGAACUCAUCACGCUGGCUUCCUGGCAUGUACUUGACUGUGCUUAUCUUCAGAGAAGCUGGGGGCCUCUGUGUCACUGAGGUUGGCUGUGGUGCUUUUCAGGACAGCCCUGGUCUUUGUUGUGAGUGUGAUUUCUUCGUUCCAGUGUAGAAUACUCAACCAACGAGCAUAGCUCCUUCACCCUGCUGGCAUAGACUUUCUAGCUUCCACUGCUGACUUGGACCUUCCUGGCACGAAUCUGUAAAAGAGACUGGCAUGAGUCCUUCUUGUGGGCUGUAGACCUCCAGUUGGACUCGUGGGAGGCAUUGCCAUGAGCUCUAGGUCUUCAUCUGGACUCAUGUGGGACACUGCUGUGGGAUUCAGGCCCUUGGCUAAAUAUUCUAUGUCUUUCGUGUUGUGGAUAGAUUUCCUGCAUUUUCUUAUGUUAACUCUGGGUGACCAUCAUAAAGCAAUAUUAUAAACUCCA
Cavia porcellus (domestic guinea pig) is the source of this 4250-nucleotide long non-coding RNA. RefSeq lists it as uncharacterized. The transcript has 3 exons. Lineage: Eukaryota; Metazoa; Chordata; Mammalia; Rodentia; Caviidae. The record is from RefSeq and is a predicted model, not a curated record.